RNAcentral lists this ribosomal RNA (243 nucleotides) under uncultured bacterium. RNAcentral describes it as "partial 16S ribosomal RNA". It matches the Rfam family "Bacterial small subunit ribosomal RNA", at positions 91 to 334 of the family's 1533-position model. The record is from RNAcentral.
ACGAGUGGCGAACGGGUGCGUAACACGUAUGCAAUCUACCUUUAACUGAGGGAUAGCCCAAAGAAAUUUGGAUUAAUACCUCAUAAUAUCACGAAUUCGCAUGUUUUUGUGAUUAAAACUCCGGUGGUUAAAGAUGAGCAUGCGUAACAUUAGCUAGUUGGUAAGGUAAUGGCUUACCAAGGCAACGAUGUUUAGGGGGUCUUAAAGGAUGGUCCCCCACACUGGCACUGAGACACGGACCAG